UACGUAGGGUGCAAGCGUUGUCCGGAAUUAUUGGGCGUAAAGAGCUCGUAGGCGGUUUGUCGCGUCGAAAUGUGAAAACCCGGGGCUCAACCCCGGGCCUGCAUUCGAUACGGGCAGACUAGAGUUCGGUAGGGGAGUCUGGAAUUCCUGGUGUAGCGGUGAAAUGCGCAGAUAUCAGGAGGAACACCGGUGGCGAAGGCGGGACUCUGGGCCGAUACUGACGCUGAGGAGCGAAAGCGUGGGGAGCAAACAGG
Molecule: ribosomal RNA, 254 nt
Filed under: uncultured bacterium
Lineage: Bacteria
Description: partial 16S ribosomal RNA
Rfam family: Bacterial small subunit ribosomal RNA
Source: RNAcentral